GACGAACGCUGGCGGCGUGCUUAACACAUGCAAGUCGAACGGAAAGGCCCUGCUUUUGUGGGGUGCUCGAGUGGCGAACGGGUGAGUAACACGUGAGUAACCUGCCCUUGACUUUGGGAUAACUUCAGGAAACUGGGGCUAAUACCGGAUAGGAGCUCCUGCUGCAUGGUGGGGGUUGGAAAGUUUCGGCGGUUGGGGAUGGACUCGCGGCUUAUCAGCUUGUUGGUGGGGUAGUGGCUUACCAAGGCUUUGACGGGUAGCCGGCCUGAGAGGGUGACCGGCCACAUUGGGACUGAGAUACGCCCCAGACUCCUACGGGAGGCAGCAGUGGGGAAUAUUGCACAAUGGGCGGAAGCCUGAUGCAGGAACGCCGCGUGCGGGAUGACGGCCUUCGGGUUGUAAACCGCUUUCGCCUGUGACGAAGCGUGAGUGACGGUAAUGGGUAAAGAAGCACCGGCUAACUACGUG
This 468-nucleotide ribosomal RNA is filed under the name uncultured bacterium. RNAcentral's name for it is "partial 16S ribosomal RNA". It matches the Rfam family "Bacterial small subunit ribosomal RNA", at positions 28 to 507 of the family's 1533-position model. The record is from RNAcentral.